ACGGGUGAGUAACACGUGGGCAACCUGCCCUUGAGACUGGGAUAACUUCGGGAAACCGGAGCUAAUACCGGAUAAUAUAAGGAACCUCCUGGUUCCUUGUUGAAAGAUGGUUUCGGCUAUCACUUAAGGAUGGGCCCGCGGCGCAUUAGCUAGUUGGUGAGGUAACGGCUCACCAAGGCGACGAUGCGUAGCCGACCUGAGAGGGUGAUCGGCCACACUGGGACUGAGACACAGCCCAGACUCCUACGGGAGGCAGCAGUAGGGAAUCUUCCACAAUGGACGAAAGUCUGAUGGAGCAACGCCGCGUGAGUGAUGAAGGCCUUCGGGUCGUAAAGCUCUGUUGUUAGGGAAGAACAAGUGCGAGAGUAACUGCUCGUACCUUGACGGUACCUAACCAGAAAGCCACGGCUAACUACGUGCCAGCAGCCGCGGUAAUACGUAGGUGGCAAGCGUUAUCCGGAAUUAUUGGGCGUAAAGCGCGCGCAGGUGGUUUCUUAAGUCUGAUGUGAAAGCCCACGGCUCAACCGUGGAGGGUCAUUGGAAACUGGGGAACUUGAGUGCAGAAGAGGAAAGUGGAAUU
This 580-nucleotide ribosomal RNA is filed under the name uncultured bacterium. RNAcentral's name for it is "bacterial SSU rRNA". It matches the Rfam family "Bacterial small subunit ribosomal RNA", at positions 102 to 668 of the family's 1533-position model. The record is from RNAcentral.